This 1108-nucleotide ribosomal RNA is filed under the name Vreelandella aquamarina. Its description in RNAcentral is "bacterial SSU rRNA". It matches the Rfam family "Bacterial small subunit ribosomal RNA", at positions 70 to 1172 of the family's 1533-position model. The record is from RNAcentral. Lineage: Bacteria; Pseudomonadati; Pseudomonadota; Gammaproteobacteria; Oceanospirillales; Halomonadaceae.
CAGAUCCGGUCUUGCUGGAUGCUGACGAGCGGCGGACGGGUGAGUAAUGCAUAGGAAUCUGCCCGAUAGUGGGGGAUAACCUGGGGAAACCCAGGCUAAUACCGCAUACGUCCUACGGGAGAAAGGGGGCUCCGGCUCCCGCUAUGGGAUGAGCCUAUGUCGGAUUAGCUAGUUGGUGAGGUAACGGCUCACCAAGGCCACGAUCCGUAGCUGGUCUGAGAGGAUGAUCAGCCACAUCGGGACUGAGACACGGCCCGAACUCCUACGGGAGGCAGCAGUGGGGAAUAUUGGACAAUGGGGGAAACCCUGAUCCAGCCAUGCCGCGUGUGUGAAGAAGGCCCUCGGGUUGUAAAGCACUUUCAGCGAGGAAGAACGCCUAGCGGUUAAUACCCGCUAGGAAAGACAUCACUCGCAGAAGAAGCACCGGCUAACUCCGUGCCAGCAGCCGCGGUAAUACGGAGGGUGCAAGCGUUAAUCGGAAUUACUGGGCGUAAAGCGCGCGUAGGUGGCUUGAUAAGCCGGUUGUGAAAGCCCCGGGCUCAACCUGGGAACGGCAUCCGGAACUGUCAAGCUAGAGUGCAGGAGAGGAAGGUAGAAUUCCCGGUGUAGCGGUGAAAUGCGUAGAGAUCGGGAGGAAUACCAGUGGCGAAGGCGGCCUUCUGGACUGACACUGACACUGAGGUGCGAAAGCGUGGGUAGCAAACAGGAUUAGAUACCCUGGUAGUCCACGCCGUAAACGAUGUCGACCAGCCGUUGGGUGCCUAGCGCACUUUGUGGCGAAGUUAACGCGAUAAGUCGACCGCCUGGGGAGUACGGCCGCAAGGUUAAAACUCAAAUGAAUUGACGGGGGCCCGCACAAGCGGUGGAGCAUGUGGUUUAAUUCGAUGCAACGCGAAGACCCUUACCUACUCUUGACAUCCUGCGAAUGUGGUAGAGAUACCUUUAGUGCCGUCGGGAACGCAGAGACAGGUGCUGCAUGGCUGUCGUCAGCUCGUGUUGUGAAUGUGGGAUUAAGGUCCCGGUAACCGAGCGCAGCCGUUGGUCCCUUACUGGCAUGCGCGUAUGGCCGGUACUCGUACGAAGACGUGGCCGGUUGACCAAACCCCAG